UGCUUUCUCAAAGGCCCCACAGUCCUCCACUUCCUGGGGAGGUAGCUGCAGAAUAAAACCAGCAGACUCCUUUUCUCCUAACCGUCCCGGCCACCGCUGCCUCAGCCUCUGCCUCCCAGCCUCUUUCUGAGGGAAACGACAAGAUGAAGUGGAAGGCGCUUUUCACCGCGGCCAUCCUGCAGGCACAGUUGCCGAUUACAGAGGCACAGAGCUUUGGCCUGCUGGAUCCCAAACUCUGCUACCUGCUGGAUGGAAUCCUCUUCAUCUAUGGUGUCAUUCUCACUGCCCUGUUCCUGAGAGUGAAGGUGGGUACCACUGGGCUUUGGGAGGAGGGCACGGGGUCCCCCACUUGAUGGAUGUUCAGAGGGGCCUUGGUCUUGGAAGGUCUCAAGCUUGGGUGGUGCCUGGGGCUUGGUAUCCAGGAGCAAAGCAAGGACCAGCCAAGUGUGUGCCUUGAGUGGGCUGAGGAGGAGGUGGCAGUGUCUGGCUGAGAUGGACAGGGUAGGAGGGAGAGCCUGGUGCUAGGCACCUCCAUGACAAGCCGUACAAAUGUGUGCACAUCAGACUGUCCCAGGGAAGGCGAUGCUACUGGUGACAAAGGGGCUUACACUCAGGCAGAGGUCCUUCUUUCCAAGUGUGAAUGAAGGCCAUGUUAGCCUUUCUCUUGAAAAGGCCCUUUCCUCAUCUGUAAUUGGGGGAGCGGACCAGAGCAUGGGUUUUUCACUUGGUGUCUUGCAGACCUUGGGUUUCUUCGUGGGGCUGGUCAUGGUGUGGGCAGAGAUUGGAAGAAUUUAGGAGUAAAGGGGAGAAUCCAGUCCCAGUCAUCACUUCGGUGCUUCUCAACCCAUUUCUUGUUUGAAUUUUGGACUUUGGCAUCAUAUUUUAUUUGAAAAACCAAAUCUUACUGAGUUUCUUGUUUUAAGUUUGAAAAUGCUGCCCUAGAUGAUUUCUAAGGUUGUUUCCAACGCUCUAGAUCUGUAAGACAUUGCAGUUUCUCCCGCCUGAAGCGGCAUGAAGUGAAGCAAGAGUGAGGCUGUGUCAGCUUCCCACAGAUGCUCAGGACACUAAGCGAACGCGAGGCUUCCUGGGCACCGGGG
RNAcentral lists this small RNA (1097 nucleotides) under Pan troglodytes (chimpanzee). RNAcentral describes it as "processed transcript". The record is from RNAcentral. Lineage: Eukaryota; Metazoa; Chordata; Mammalia; Primates; Hominidae.